RNAcentral lists this unclassified non-coding RNA (352 nucleotides) under soil metagenome. RNAcentral describes it as "partial contains 5.8S ribosomal RNA, internal transcribed spacer 2, and large subunit ribosomal RNA". The stretch from base 1 to 120 matches the Rfam family "5.8S ribosomal RNA", at positions 35 to 154 of the family's 154-position model. The record is from RNAcentral.
GAUGAAGAACGUAGCGAAAUGCGAUAAGUAAUGUGAAUUGCAGAAUUCAGUGAAUCAUCGAAUCUUUGAACGCACAUUGCGCCCGCCAGUAUUCUGGCGGGCAUGCCUGUUCGAGCGUCAUUACAACCCUCAGGCCCCCGGGCCUGGCGUUGGGGAUCGGCGGAGCCCCCCGUGGGCACACGCCGUCCCCCAAAUGCAGUGGCGGUCCCGCCGCAGCUUCCAUCGCGUAGUAGCUAACUCCUCGCGACUGGAGAGCGGCGCGGCCACGCCGUAAAACACCCAACUCUUCUGAAGUUGACCUCGAAUCAGGUAGGAAUACCCGCUGAACUUAAGCAUAUCAAUAAGCGGAGGA